UUCCGGUUGAUCCUGCCGGAGGCCAUUGCUAUUGGAGUCCGAUUUAGCCAUGCUAGUCGCACGGGUUCAGACCCGUGGCGAAUAGCUCCGUAACACGUGGCCAAACUACCCUAUGGAUCGGAACAACCUCGGGAAACUGAGGCUAAUACCGAAUACCGCUCUCACGUUGGAAUUACAGAGAGCACGAAACGCUCCGGCGCCAUAGGAUGUGGCUGCGGCCGAUUAGGUAGACGGUGGGGUAACGGCCCACCGUGCCGAUAAUCGGUACGGGUUGUGAGAGCAAGAACCCGGAGACGGUAUCUGAGACAAGAUACCGGGCCCUACGGGGCGCAGCAGGCGCGAAACCUUUACACUGCACGAACGUGCGAUAAGGGGACUCCAAGUGCGAGGGCAUACAGUCCUCGCUUUUCCCUACCGUAAGGUGGUAGGUGAAUAAGAGCUGGGCAAGACCGGUGCCAGCCGCCGCGGUAAUACCGGCAGCUCGAGUGAUGGCCAAUAUUAUUGGGCCUAAAGCGUCCGUAGCUGGCCGAACAGGUCCGUCGGGAAAUCCGCUCGCUCAACGAGCGGACGUCCGGCGGAAACCAGUCGGCUUGGGACCGGAAGACCCGAGGGGUACGGCCGGGGUAGGAGUGAAAUCCUGUAAUCCUGGCCGGACCACCGGUGGCGAAAGCGCCUCGGGAGGACGGAUCCGACAGUGAGGGACGAAAGCUUGGGUCACGAACCGGAUUAGAUACCCGGGUAGUCCAAGCUGUAAACGAUGCCCGCUAGGUGUGGCACAGGCUACGAGCCUGUGCUGUGCCGUAGGGAAGCCGUGAAGCGGGCCGCCUGGGAAGUACGUCCGCAAGGAUGAAACUUAAAGGAAUUGGCGGGGGAGCACUACAACCGGAGGAGCCUGCGGUUUAGUUGGAUUCAACGCCGGG
This 920-nucleotide ribosomal RNA is filed under the name uncultured archaeon. RNAcentral's name for it is "bacterial SSU rRNA". It matches the Rfam family "Archaeal small subunit ribosomal RNA", at positions 1 to 922 of the family's 1478-position model. The record is from RNAcentral.